UAAAAAAAGGGAGUGCAGAGGGGGAACCCCUCGCCGAUGGAGGAGGGUGCUCAGCUCGCGCAGCGAGCGCCGAAGGGAAC
Molecule: non-coding RNA, 80 nt
Submitted as: unclassified sequences
Source: Rfam